GACGAACGCUGGCGGCGUGCUUAACGCAUGCAAGUCGAACGGAAAGGCCCUGCUUUUGUGGGGUGCUCGAGUGGCGAACGGGUGAGUAACACGUGAGUAACCUGCCCUUGACUUUGGGAUAACUUCAGGAAACUGGGGCUAAUACCGGAUAGGAGCUCCUGCUGCAUGGUGGGGGUUGGAAAGUUUCGGCGGUUGGGGAUGGACUCGCGGCUUAUCAGCUUGUUGGUGGGGUAGUGGCUUACCAAGGCUUUGACGGGUAGCCGGCCUGAGAGGGUGACCGGCCACAUUGGGACUGAGAUACGGCCCAGACUCCUACGGGAGGCAGCAGUGGGGAAUAUUGCACAAUGGGCGGAAGCCUGAUGCAGCAACGCCGCGUGCGGGAUGACGGCCUUCGGGUUGUAAACCGCUUUCGCCUGUGACGAAGCGUGAGUGACGGUAAUGGGUAAAGAAGCACCGGCUAACAACGUG
RNAcentral lists this ribosomal RNA (468 nucleotides) under uncultured bacterium. RNAcentral describes it as "partial 16S ribosomal RNA". It matches the Rfam family "Bacterial small subunit ribosomal RNA", at positions 28 to 507 of the family's 1533-position model. The record is from RNAcentral.